UUAAAGAGUUCUAUAACUCCCAAACCCAUGUGAACAUACCUAACGUUGCCUCGGCAGGUCGCACCUACCUUGUAGCACCUUACCCUGUAAGGCCUACCCGGGAGGUGCGGGUAAGCCUGCCGGCGGCCCACCAAACUCUGUUUGAUAUUGAAUUCUGAACCUAUAACUAAAUAAGUUAAAACUUUCAACAACGGAUCUCUUGGUUCUGGCAUCGAUGAAGAACGCAGCGAAAUGCGAUAAGUAAUGUGAAUUGCAGAAUUCAGUGAAUCAUCGAAUCUUUGAACGCAUAUUGCGCCCAUUAGUAUUCUAGUGGGCAGGACCGUUCGAGCGUCAUUUCAACCCUUAAGCCUUCGUUGCUUAGUGUUGGGAGCCUACGGCAACGUAGCUCCUCAAAGUUAGUGGCGGAGUUGGUUCACACUCUAGACGUAGUAAUUUUUUAUCUCGCCUAUUAGUUGAACUAAUACCCUGCCGUAAAACCCCCAAUUUAUCAAGGUUGACCUCGAAUCGGUUCAGACAAACUCGCUAAAUUGAAGCAUCUUAGUCAGCGAAGGAAAAGAAACCA
This 562-nucleotide ribosomal RNA is filed under the name fungal endophyte. Its description in RNAcentral is "eukaryotic LSU rRNA". The stretch from base 180 to 333 matches the Rfam family "5.8S ribosomal RNA". The record is from RNAcentral. Lineage: Eukaryota; Fungi.